RNAcentral lists this long non-coding RNA (304 nucleotides) under Mytilus galloprovincialis (Mediterranean mussel). Lineage: Eukaryota; Metazoa; Mollusca; Bivalvia; Mytilida; Mytilidae. The record is from RNAcentral.
AUGACUCAGAUGAAAUAAAUAAUUUUGAUGGUAUUGACCUUCUUCCAGAGAGCUAUAUAACUGAUAUUGAUAUCAGAAGAGUAAACCAAGAUAGCACUUUGAAUACAUUGGGGAAUAAAUUACUUGAAUUAUGUUCGUCCUCAAGGCUUCGUAUACUUAAUGGUCGUUUUUUGGGAGAUUCCCUGGGAUAUUUUACUUAUAUGUGUAAUACUGGGUUCAGUACAGUUGAUUAUGCUAUUGCAAGUGAGAGUCUCCUGCCUGAGGUAAAAUACUUUAAAACAAAUGACUUUACAUAUUUAUCAGA